Molecule: transfer RNA, 539 nt
Filed under: uncultured cyanobacterium
Lineage: Bacteria; Bacillati; Cyanobacteriota
Description: partial miscellaneous RNA
Rfam family: tRNA (bases 126-199)
Source: RNAcentral
CAGGGAGACAACAAAAUGUUUAAUAUUAUUAUUUUGUCACCUUAGGUCGAUCGGUAUCUCACAUUCUUAAUUAAUUAAGGAUUUCUUUUCCUAAGUUUUUCUAGGUCACACCCAUUAUUUUCCCUGGGCCAUUAGCUCAGGUGGUUAGAGCGCACCCCUGAUAAGGGUGAGGUCCCUGGUUCAAGUCCAGGAUGGCCCAUAUCUCUAUAUGUUGGGGGUAUAGCUCAGUUGGUAGAGCGCCUGCUUUGCAAGCAGGAUGUCAGCUGUUCGAGUCCGCUUACCUCCACUGAUUACCACCUCUUCCAUAAUUUAUAGAAGGGAAAUGUUUGAGUUGUGAUUAAAUUCUGAACGAAUCUAGCUUCCUAAUAGAUAUUAAGAUGCUGGACUCAUUGAAUUGAUUUCAUUGUUUUCAGAGAACCUUGACAGCUGCAUAGAUUUUUUUAAAGACAAUAAGCAUCUUUAAUGAUGCAGAUUUAUUAUUUUUGCAACUGCAUUAAUAACAAUUCUAUUAAGCUGAUGCUUCAAUUUUUGAAGUUAUU